This is a non-coding RNA of Cricetulus griseus (Chinese hamster), 963 nucleotides long. The record is from RefSeq and is a predicted model, not a curated record. Lineage: Eukaryota; Metazoa; Chordata; Mammalia; Rodentia; Cricetidae.
ACUGUCAGUGUUCCCAAGACCUAUGCCGGUGAUGUAUAAUGCAGGGGUUUUCCCACGCCUUUUUACCACCAAUCGAAGUUUAAAAGAUUGUCUCAGUUUCUAUUACAGAAUUGGUCAUCUGAGUUUGAAGACACCAUGAGAGAACUCAGGUUGGCUAUCGUGCAUGUGAAUUCCACCCGAAUAGACCUAUCCCUUGCGAGCAGCCUGACUUCCUGGUUGAACUCCGCCAUGGAUCAUUUCAAAGAGUGGGUGGGCAUGGGAGCAUUAGCAGGCCUCUUGAUUAUGGUCUCCCUGGUCUGCCUGUGGUGUAUAUGCAGGAUUAGAGCUACGCAAAAGCGCGAUGCAGCUAUGAUUAUUCAAGCCUUUACUGCCAUAGAGGCAGGGCAGUCCCCCCAGGCCUGGUUGGCCACUAAAAUGCUCUCUUAAGCGGGGUGUGAGGCUAAGCACUGCACGAGGGUUUGCUUGUAUGCGGCUAGGCUGCCCUCAGAAGACAAGCCCGAUUGCAUGAAGGUUGUACCCAAGAUCCUUCCCCUGGGAAAAUAGGUACGGGAUGGGUUUGGGUCACCGCAGGCGUAGAGUUUGAGUGUGUCACCAAUACAUUAUCCCAUGUUUGCACACCGGGAUCGGGCCUCUAUCUUCACCCGCUCUGUUUUUUAAUAAAGAAGGGGGAACUGUGGAGAGCUGCGAUGCGCCUCGCCAGAAGAUGGCGCCGGUUUCCACCUUCCACCAUCCCGAGGAAAGAUGACUGUGAAUUUUAAAAAAGAGCUUAAGGAACCAUGUUUGCACUACAACCAGCAGAAAGGAGGAAAAUGGACAAACCUCACCAGGCUCCAGGGUGUAUGAGAGUUAAAGGGAUGCUAUGACGAGCUUCUUCAUACCCACUACAAAAAGUCAACAACUGGCCAAAUCUGUCAUGUUUCAUUUGCCUAUAUAAAUGCAAUGGCUAUCUUUAUUUAUAUUACA